Molecule: non-coding RNA, 436 nt
Organism: Arachis ipaensis
Lineage: Eukaryota; Viridiplantae; Streptophyta; Magnoliopsida; Fabales; Fabaceae
Source: RefSeq, a predicted model, not a curated record
UUCCCAAAAGAAUAUAUGAGUUGGUGUGUAUACUCAUGUUGGUAUCUUUAUGUUUUUUUUUCUGGCAAGAUUGUAUUUUUUCUCUAUGGCUUUUUCAAUCUGUGAUAGUACGAGGCAGAUUUUCCUUGCCUGAUCCUACAAUGCCUCAUGGUCGCCAAGACGUGAUAGAGUGGAUUUGUGGGCUAUAGGUUAAAUAUUUGGAGGUACGACAGAUUAUUAGAAGUUGUGCUUUUAAACUGGUGCAGUUCUGAUCUCUGGAAAUAUUCUCACCAUCCAAACUACUUUGGCGAGGAAUGGGACCCUCCAAGGAGUUUCCAAAUUUAACAAGAAACAGUAAACUGGGAUAGAGCCUUCCGAAGCUUCAGCGUGUAAGAAGCCUCAUCACCACCAAUGUCAUUUGAUGAGUACAAAGUAUGAACGUAAGAGCACCAAUACU